RNAcentral lists this ribosomal RNA (460 nucleotides) under uncultured bacterium. Its description in RNAcentral is "partial 16S ribosomal RNA". It matches the Rfam family "Bacterial small subunit ribosomal RNA", at positions 338 to 795 of the family's 1533-position model. The record is from RNAcentral.
CCUACGGGAGGCAGCAGUGAGGAAUAUUGGUCAAUGGCCGGAAGGCUGAACCAGCCAAGCCGCGUGAAGGACGAAGGUGCCAAGCAUUGUAAACUUCUUUUAUAUGGGAAUAAAAUGUUCCACGUGUGGGAUUUUGUAUGUACCAUAUGAAUAAGGAUCGGCUAACUCCGUGCCAGCAGCCGCGGUAAUACGGAGGAUCCGAGCGUUAUCCGGAUUUAUUGGGUUUAAAGGGAGCGUAGGUGGAUUGUUAAGUCAGUUGUGAAAGUUUGCGGCUUAACCGUAAAAUUGCAGUUGAAACUGGCAGUCUUGAGUACAGUAGAGGUGGGCGGAAUGCGUGGUGUAGCGGUGAAAUGCUUAGAUAUCACGAAGAACUCCGAUUGCGAAGGCAGCUCACUGGACUGCAACUGACACUGAGGCUCGAAAGUGUGGGUAUCAAACAGGAUUAGAUACCCCAGUAGUC